GUCGUAACAAGGUUUCCGUAGGUGAACCUGCGGAAGGAUCAUUACCACACCGAUCCAAGAUCUUUUUCACUGUGAACCGUGGUCCCAUGGAAGCUGAUGGGGUGCGAGUUGGACUGCAUCCAAAGUGGUCCAUCUAGCAGUCCAUCGGUGGGACUGCACAUGAAAGUGCUGUGUAGCCACAGCGCGACCCGUCACUUUACGACGUUAACCGGUCUUGACCAAACAAACUGAACCAUAAAGGGCCAGUUGCAACCUUGCCUUGUCGGCUUGGGGGCACAGGUUCUCGAAACAAAAAUACCUUACAACUUUCAGCGAUGGAUGUCUAGGUUCCCA
This 333-nucleotide unclassified non-coding RNA is filed under the name fungal sp. Its description in RNAcentral is "partial internal transcribed spacer region". The stretch from base 1 to 44 matches the Rfam family "Eukaryotic small subunit ribosomal RNA", at positions 1788 to 1831 of the family's 1831-position model. Lineage: Eukaryota; Fungi. The record is from RNAcentral.